UUACCCCAAACCAACACAGGUGGACAGGUAGAGCAUACCAAGGCGAGUGGGAUAACUAUGGUUAAGGAACUCGGCAAAUUGCCUCCGUAACUUCGGGAGAAGGAGGACCUCAGUAGCGUGAUGAGACUUGCUCUCUGAGCGUGAAGGGGUGGCACAAAAUUGUGGGAAGCGACUGUUUACCAAAAACACAGCAGCGUGCUAAGCCGUAAGGCGCUGUAUACGCUGUGACUCCUGCCCGGUGCUGGAAGGUUACGGGGAUGGGUUAGUCCUUCGGGACGAAGCUCUGAACCUAAGCCCCAGUAAACGGCGGCCGUAACUAUAACGGUCCUAAGGUAGCGAAAUUCCUUGUCGGGUAAGUUCCGACCUGCACGAAUGGAGUAACGACUUCCCUACUGUCUCAACCAUAGACCCAGCGAAAUUGAAGUACGAGUAAAGAUGCUCGUUAGCUGCAGAAGGACGGAAAGACCCCGUGGACCUUUACUAUAACUUGAUGUUGUGUUUUGUCAUAUGUUGUGUAGGAUAGGUGGGAGACUUGGAAGCAUGGACGCUAGUCUGUGUGGAGUCAUCGUUGAAAUACCACCCUGCAUAUGGUGAGGCUCUAACCUAGACCCGUUAUCCGGGUUGGGGCCAGCGUCAGGCGGGUAGUUUAACUGGGGCGGUUGCCUCCUAAAGAGUAACGGAGGCGCCCAAAGGUUCCCUCAGCCUGGUUGGCAAUCAGGCGUUGAGUGCGAUGGCAAAAGGGAGCUUGACUGCGAGACCUACAAGUCGAGCAGGAGCGAAAGCUGGGCAUAGUGAUCCGGCGGUUGCGUGUGGAAGCGCCGUCGCUCAACGGAUAAAAGGUACCCCGGGGAUAACAGGCUAAUCUUGCCCAAGCGUCCAUAGCGACGGCAAGGUUUGGCACCUCGAUGUCGGCUCAUCGCAUCCUGGGGCUGAAGCAGGUCCCAAGGGUUGGGCUGUUCGCCCAUUAAAGCGGUACGCGAGCUGGGUUCAGAACGUCGUGAGACAGUUCGGUCCCUAUCCUCUGCAGCCGGAGGUGAAUUGAGGAAAGCUGUCCCUAGUACGAGAGGACCGGGACGGACGCAGCUCUCGUGUGCCAGUUGUCCUGCCAAGGGCAUGGCUGGUUAGCGACCUGCGGAAAGGAUAACCGCUGAAAGCAUCUAAGCGGGAAGCCUCUUCCAAGAUGAAUUCACCCACAGGGUUAACCUGGUAAGGCCCGUGGUAGACCACCACGUUGAUAGGCCGGAAGUGUAAGCGUGGCAACACGUUCAGCUGACCGGUACUAAUCGGCCGAGGGCUUGAGUCG
This 1303-nucleotide ribosomal RNA is filed under the name metagenome. Its description in RNAcentral is "bacterial LSU rRNA". It matches the Rfam family "Bacterial large subunit ribosomal RNA", at positions 1644 to 2925 of the family's 2925-position model. The record is from RNAcentral.